Long non-coding RNA from Gallus gallus (chicken), 1493 nucleotides. The record is from Ensembl. NCBI's taxonomy places the organism in Eukaryota, Metazoa, Chordata, Aves, Galliformes, Phasianidae.
GUCAGCACCAGACUGGCUUUUAUUGGUGGCAGGUGGAUAUGGCUCCUGCUGCUUUUGUCUCCUCCUCCCUUGCUUUGUUGAAUGCAGUCUCAUUUCAGAACGAGCAGUUUGCAGUGUGCGAAGUGAUGUCGUCCCACCUCCGGAUCAAAGGCUUGAAGAGAGAUUUUGGUGACAUCCCAGUUCCUGUCACCUCAUCCUAACCUUCUGAAAAAACAAAUGCAAAACUGCCUAUUUCCUCUAAGAAAAAUCCCACCUGGUGAUUUUCUGAUGGCUCCACAACAACUCUGAAGAUACUGUUGAGGCAGAAAGACUAAGCUAAGCGAGGCACUGGAAUAAAGCCAGCAUUCAGGUACAGAAUUGAUGGCAAAGCUGAAUUGUUACAGAGGAAAUCUAUAGAGGAACUCAAAAGCAAUUAGAAUAAUUUCAGAAUGUGAAAUGUAGAAAGCCCAUUCCCAAAUUGGCCUGAAAAUGUUUGCUUAAAAGUGAGUAAAAGCAACACAGUCCCACAGCCAGACAGAACACCUUAAGUUCAAAGAAAAGAAAAAAAUAAAGAAAAAGAAAGGACGCUAACAAAAGAAGAUGAUGUGAUUGACAAUGUGUUGGACAGAAUUGCAAUAUCAACGGAAAGCUCAUUACAUGAGGAAUUACCACACUUAAUGUCCAUCAGAUUGAAGAAUCCCAAGUUGCUAAGGUUGGGCUUGGAGACAGGGUAGUUUAAAUGGAUUUGUGUAUCACCUUGGUGACUGCACAGCAGACCUUGCCAAGGAGAUGUAAGGCACUGCACGAAGAAAAGUGUUACUUAGCCAUGGUCCUGCUGGAUCCGAGUUAAUGCAGUUCAGUUCUGUUUCCCCUGGUCUUAUUUCCCUUCAAUGAUUCAUCAGAAGCUUCUAGAUAGCUGCAAAAAUAUGAAACUUUAAACAAUUUUUGCUUUCGGUAGUGCCAUUAGCAUAGAAAAUUUAAAGCAAAGGUUAGUCAUCCACUCAGACAUGGUCAACAGCCUGCCUGCUCCAUGGCACUUUUCCAGAAGGUCUCAGAAAAAUCCAGAGCAGAUCAUCAUGCACUGCCUUUCCUGCGGUGCCUCCAUCAAGGUGGAUUGAGUCCCGUGGCACAAAGGGUGCUGUGGUAACUGUGAUAUCACCCCUCCUGCAUGGCACUGGAGUCUCUUCUUCCUUACUCACUCUCUCUGUGAUAUAUUAUGACAAUUUUGUACUGAGUAGCAAGUGUGCUGCAUUUAAUAACCAUUGAGCAGCUCGUGAAAACUUAAAGUAGUGAGCUGGCAAUGGGGUGGAUGUGGCUGGAUUUAGUGUCUUGGCCCAAGAAAUUUGACUUGUAAUUAUCUCUUUAAAAUACUCAUGUGGCUGGUCUUUCCAGGGCUGCAAAUGAGCCUUCUGAAAAAGAAAAAGUAAAUUAUAAUAUUUGCACAGAAAGGUGUAUUUAAAAACCUUCUUAACUUGGUUUUCCAUGAGUAGUGGUGAGAUCACUGCAAGCUGUAG